GCAUAUCAAUAAGCGGAGGAAAAGAAACCAACAGGGAUUGCCUUAGUAACGGCGAGUGAAGCGGCAACAGCUCAAAUUUGAAAUCUGGCCUCUCUCGGGGUCCGAGUUGUAAUUUGGAGAGGAUGUUUCGGGUACGGCCCGGGCUUAAAUUUCUUGGAACAGAAUGUCACGGAGGGUGAGAAUCCCGUCUGGAGCCCGGGCACGGCCUAUGUGAAACUCCUUCGACGAGUCGAGUUGUUUGGGAAUGCAGCUCUAAAUGGGUGGUAAAUUUCAUCUAAAGCUAAAUAUUGGCCAGAGACCGAUAGCGCACAAGUAGAGUGAUCGAAAGAUGAAAAGCACUUUGAAAAGAGAGUUAAACAGUACGUGAAAUUGUUGAAAGGGAAGCGCUGGCAACCAGACUUGCGCGUCGGGGUUCCCCCUUGCUUCUGCUUGGGCUACUCCCCGGCGUUCAGGCCAACAUCGGUUUCGGGGGUUGGUUAAAGGCCCUGGGAAUGUACCUACCCUCCGGGGUAGACUUAUAGCCCAGGGUGUCAUGCGACCUCCCGGGACCGAGGAACGCGCUUCGGCUCGGAUGUUGGCGUAAUGGUUGUCAGCGACCCGUCUUGAAACACGGACC
RNAcentral lists this ribosomal RNA (616 nucleotides) under Cyphellophora sp. JCM 28586. Its description in RNAcentral is "eukaryotic LSU rRNA". It matches the Rfam family "Eukaryotic large subunit ribosomal RNA", at positions 38 to 667 of the family's 3401-position model. Lineage: Eukaryota; Fungi; Ascomycota; Eurotiomycetes; Chaetothyriales; Cyphellophoraceae. The record is from RNAcentral.